AGAGGGGAGCAGCCAGCAGUCUUAUGCUACCACUGUGGCUCAUCCUGCGACCUGAGAGAAACCUGGGCAACUGUGAGCACCAGAGGCCAAGUCCUGGACAGUCUUUAGGCCAUGUUGGAACUACAUUUGGAAAGGUGGUUGUUAAACAUUUCCCAGCACACACCUGGAUCUGCAUCUGCUGUGUCAAUUGAACCACUCACUGGUUCUGUGACCUCAGGCAAGUCAUUUAAAUUAUAAGCCUUGGUUUUAUCCUCCACAGAAUACUUCCUCCUAAAAUGUGUUGUGAAAAUUAGAAUAGAUGAAGGCACCCUUGAAAAGAUGACUGAUGCGGUUGGUUGCCCCACCACUUCCUACUACUUGGCAGAGCCUCCUCGUUGGCAGAUCCUUCUCUCACUAGAGCAUGUAUAUGGAUGCAUGCUCUCUCACCCUCCCUUGUAGCUUAGAGCAGAGCAUACCAAUCUAUGUGCCAGCAUACCCUGGUAUGUCUCAGAUGGGUCAUAGAUGUGAUAAGGUAUGGAUCCCUUAAGCCCUUGGGACAUUCAAGUGAGGCUGAGCUGCUGAAGCCCUGGGAUGGUAUGACUGGCCACAAGCAACAUUACCCAGGUACCCCUCUGUGUCACAAAAACGUUAUCUUUGUAUUUGUGUCAUGGUGUGAAAAAAUUGAGAAGCACUGCCUGGGGACAUAGUGAGGUAGCCCAAUUCUGGAUAAAGGAAAUUGAGAAGUCUUGAGGGGGUAGAGAGGUUUUCUUCCCUAAUAAGAAGAAUCACAGGAGAGAAAAUGCCUUCCUCAGCCAUAUGUUGUUAUUUCUAUAUGUGAGCCUGGAAUUUCAAGGUUAUCUUGCAAAGAACCAAGGCAAUGUAGAGAAAAGAAUUGAUAGCAAGUGGCUGGAUCUUUCACAUUGUAAAGCCAUUGAGCCAUCCGUGCAAUUGCCCACCUUGGGAAUUUAUUUUUAAGAGUGAUAAUAAAUGCUCCUCAUUGUUUAAACUACUUUGAUUUUUGUAUUUGGUUAUUCAUAAUUAAAAACACCCAAAUACAGUAGAAGAACUGGUACAUCCCUGACACCUAAUGAGUGCUCAAUAUGGUUAGUUAAUCACCAAAUUAGAUCCUUUGCCUUUAGAAAAGCUGCCAUGGUCAAAUGUGUGUUGAUCUUAUUUUUCGUAAAUAUUUAAGAAAUUUGUUCAGUAACUAGCUUAACUUUUAAUAUUUAUCUUGAGUCUCUUCUAAAUAUGUUUUUACUGUAUAAUAAAAGCAAUAAUUGAAAAAUGACAUCAUUUUAAGCUUGAGAGCAACUAGAUACAAAGAUGUUGAUAUGCAUUUUCUCUUCUUGAAGGAUCUAGACAAACUGGAGCACCAUUACAUGAAAAAGGUUAAAGAAUCAAUGUUUUGCAAAAUAGAACUGGAAUUAAUUCAUGGGAAUUACAGAGAAGAUCAUAUUAGUUCAAUAUAAAAAGAGGGCCUAGAAUGUGCCAAGCUCCAUACAAUGCCCCUCAUGAGUGUUAUUUAAUUCUCACAACAACUUUGCAAAAAAGAAACUAUUUUUUUUUCCAUUUUACAAAGGAGGAAGCUAAGGCUGUGAAAAAGAGCUCUUUUGCAAGCCUAGGACCUGAUUCCAAAAUUCCCACUCUUUCUGUUGCAAAUUCUGGCUAAGCUUUCCAGAGAUGACUUGCUUUCCCCUUGAGGCCCUUUCAGUGCAUUGUGCCAUGGAAAACAAAAAGCCCAACAAUGACAUCUUUACCAAAGAUGCCUUGGGGAGAUGGGAGAAGAGUUACAAUGCACAUUACACAGCAAAAUCUUUUUUAAGCUCCAAGUAAAAUUGGUUUUUUCUUAGAGUUUUGCUUCCAGCAGUCACUUCCUCCAUUCUCCUGCUCUCUCCACGUGAGGAAAACUUCUAUCCUGCCUUCUCCUAAUACACUUUCCUGUUUUUUUUUUCCUGCACAUUUCUUAAAAAUCCCACAUAAGGCAAAAGCCAAGACAAUAUCCAUCAACACCUCCACCCCCACCGCAUGUCCAUGGAGAGCUUCAAGUCAUCCUGCCGCUGGUACAAACACGGCAGAGGCCUCUUUGUAAAGAAGUGUUCUUCGUAGACUCUGGAAUGGAGCUGGAAGCUGUCAU
This 2113-nucleotide long non-coding RNA is filed under the name Homo sapiens (human). Its description in RNAcentral is "HSALNT0377365". Lineage: Eukaryota; Metazoa; Chordata; Mammalia; Primates; Hominidae. The record is from RNAcentral.